This 492-nucleotide ribosomal RNA is filed under the name uncultured bacterium. RNAcentral describes it as "partial 16S ribosomal RNA". It matches the Rfam family "Bacterial small subunit ribosomal RNA", at positions 29 to 507 of the family's 1533-position model. The record is from RNAcentral.
AGUGAACGCUGGCGGUAUGCCUAACACAUGCAAGUCGAACGACAACACAAUAAGAUCUUUCUCUUACCGGUAGCGAGUGGCGGACGGGUGAGACAUACAUCACAUUCUUCUUUUUCUUGGGUGAUAUCGUGGGAACACUGACGCUAAUGGCUCAUACAACCUACGGCUUGAAUCAGUAGUUCUUCGCACCUUUCCCGUUUCAUUUAGCCGAUGUCGGAUUAGCUAGUUUGCUGGGUAAGGGCCCACCAAGGCGACGAUACGUAGCUGGUCUGAGAGGAUGAUCAGCCACACUGGAACUGAGACACGGUCCAGACUCCUACGGGAGGCAGCAGUAGGGAAUCUUGCACAAUGGGCGAAAGCCUGACGGAGCAACACCGCGUGAGUGAAGAAGGCCUUCGGGUUGUAAAGCUCUUUUGUUGGGAAAGAAAAGAAGCAGGUGAAACCACCGAUGUUCUGACGGUACCCAAAGAAUAAGCACCGGCUAACUUCGUG